This is a small nuclear RNA of Mesoplodon densirostris (Blainville's beaked whale), 108 nucleotides long. NCBI's taxonomy places the organism in Eukaryota, Metazoa, Chordata, Mammalia, Artiodactyla, Ziphiidae. The record is from RefSeq and is a predicted model, not a curated record.
GCGCUCACGUCGGCAGCACAGAUACGAAAAACCGGAACGAUACAGAGGAGAUGAGCACGGCCCCUGCGCAAGGAUGACACCCAAAUUCGUGGAGCGUUCCAUAUGUUU